UACUUCCUUUGUGAUGCAAUC
This 21-nucleotide unclassified non-coding RNA is filed under the name Dictyostelium discoideum. The record is from RNAcentral. Lineage: Eukaryota; Evosea; Eumycetozoa; Dictyosteliales; Dictyosteliaceae.